This 76-nucleotide small nucleolar RNA is filed under the name Neotoma lepida (desert woodrat). RNAcentral describes it as "Small nucleolar RNA SNORD83". It matches the Rfam family "Small nucleolar RNA SNORD83". Rfam says of the family: U83 (SNORD83) and U84 (SNORD84) are members of the C/D class of snoRNA which contain the C (UGAUGA) and D (CUGA) box motifs. They act as guanine methylation guides but lack complementarity to ribosomal RNA. Lineage: Eukaryota; Metazoa; Chordata; Mammalia; Rodentia; Cricetidae. The record is from Rfam by way of RNAcentral.
GCCACAUGAUGUUGCCAUUGGGAAGUGAGCGCUUUGCGCAGUGCUGACCNUUAUCUAUCACCCUGGACUGAUGGCU